AACGAACGCUGGCGGCAGGCUUAACACAUGCAAGUCGAACGCCCUAGCAAUAGGGAGUGGCGCACGGGUGAGUAACGCGUGGGAAUAUACCGAGUAGUGGGGAAUAACGUUGGGAAACUAACGCUAAUACCGCAUACGCCCGAGAGGGGAAAGAUUUAUCGCUAUUCGAUUAGCCCGCGUGAGAUUAGGUAGUUGGUGGGGUAAUGGCCUACCAAGCCUACGAUCUCUAGCUGGUCUGAGAGGAUGAUCAGCCACACUGGAACUGAGACACGGUCCAGACUCCUACGGGAGGCAGCAGUGGGGAAUAUUGGACAAUGGGCGCAAGCCUGAUCCAGCCAUGCCGCGUGAGUGAUGAAGGCUUUAGGGUUGUAAAGCUCUUUCGCCGAUGAAGAUAUUGACGGUAGUCGGAGAAGAAGCCCCGGCUAACUUCGUGCCAGCCGCCGCGGUAA
This 449-nucleotide ribosomal RNA is filed under the name uncultured bacterium. RNAcentral describes it as "partial 16S ribosomal RNA". It matches the Rfam family "Bacterial small subunit ribosomal RNA", at positions 29 to 523 of the family's 1533-position model. The record is from RNAcentral.